GCCUAAAACACAUGGGAGGUUUGGGGAUUAGAUACCUUCAAAUUAUGAAUCAAUGUCUCCUAUUAAAAUGGUGGUGGAACUUCUACAACCAACAAGAACAACCUUGGAAAAAAUUAAUAUGGAGUAUUUACUACAAGAAUCGCCUACCAUUGCCUUCUCUCAGCACUUCUCGCCAUAUUGCAUCAUCCUUCUGAAAGGACGUUGUCUGACA
This 211-nucleotide long non-coding RNA is filed under the name Elaeis guineensis (African oil palm). RNAcentral's name for it is "long non-coding RNA (EGUI_LNC030365)". The record is from RNAcentral. Lineage: Eukaryota; Viridiplantae; Streptophyta; Magnoliopsida; Arecales; Arecaceae.